Ochotona curzoniae (black-lipped pika) is the source of this 103-nucleotide small nuclear RNA. The record is from RefSeq and is a predicted model, not a curated record. NCBI's taxonomy places the organism in Eukaryota, Metazoa, Chordata, Mammalia, Lagomorpha, Ochotonidae.
UUGCUUCAGCAGCACAUACGCUAAAAUUGGAAUGAUACAGAGAAGAUGAGCAUGGCCCCUGCGCGAGGAUGACAUGCAAAUUAGGGAGGUGUUCUGUGGGGUU